GUGUGUUCCAGGUAAAUCCGGUUCACUUUAACACUGAGGCGUGACGACGAGGCACUACGGUGCUGAAGCAACAAAUGCCCUGCUUCCAGGAAAAGCCUCUAAGCAUCAGGUAACAUCAAAUCGUACCCCAAACCGACACAGGUGGUCAGGUAGAGAAUACCAAGGCGCUUGAGAGAACUCGGGUGAAGGAACUAGGCAAAAUGGUGCCGUAACUUCGGGAGAAGGCACGCUGACACGUAGGUGAAGUGAUUUACUCAUGGAGCUGAAGUCAGUCGAAGAUACCAGCUGGCUGCAACUGUUUAUUAAAAACACAGCACUGUGCAAACACGAAAGUGGACGUAUACGGUGUGACGCCUGCCCGGUGCCGGAAGGUUAAUUGAUGGGGUCAGCGCAAGCGAAGCUCCUGAUCGAAGCCCCGGUAAACGGCGGCCGUAACUAUAACGGUCCUAAGGUAGCGAAAUUCCUUGUCGGGUAAGUUCCGACCUGCACGAAUGGCGUAAUGAUGGCCAGGCUGUCUCCACCCGAGACUCAGUGAAAUUGAACUCGCUGUGAAGAUGCAGUGUACCCGCGGCAAGACGGAAAGACCCCGUGAACCUUUACUAUAGCUUGACACUGAACAUUGAGCCUUGAUGUGUAGGAUAGGUGGGAGGCUUUGAAGUGUGGACGCCAGUCUGCAUGGAGCCGACCUUGAAAUACCACCCUUUAAUGUUUGAUGUUCUAACGUGGACCCGUUACCCGGGUUGCGGACAGUGUCUGGUGGGUAGUUUGACUGGGGCGGUCUCCUCCUAAAGAGUAACGGAGGAGCACGAAGGUUGGCUAAUCCUGGUCGGACAUCAGGAGGUUAGUGCAAUGGCAUAAGCCAGCUUGACUGCGAGCGUGACGGCGCGAGCAGGUGCGAAAGCAGGUCAUAGUGAUCCGGUGGUUCUGAAUGGAAGGGCCAUCGCUCAACGGAUAAAAGGUACUCCGGGGAUAACAGGCUGAUACCGCCCAAGAGUUCAUAUCGACGGCGGUGUUUGGCACCUCGAUGUCGGCUCAUCACAUCCUGGGGCUGAAGUAGGUCCCAAGGGUAUGGCUGUUCGCCAUUUAAAGUGGUACGCGAGCUGGGUUUAGAACGUCGUGAGACAGUUCGGUCCCUAUCUGCCGUGGGCGCUGGAGAACUGAGGGGGGCUGCUCCUAGUACGAGAGGACCGGAGUGGACGCAUCACUGGUGUUCGGGUUGUCAUGCCAAUGGCACUGCCCGGUAGCUAAAUGCGGAAGAGAUAAGUGCUGAAAGCAUCUAAGCACGAAACUUGCCCCGAGAUGAGUUCUCCCUGAGACUUAGAGU
Molecule: ribosomal RNA, 1324 nt
Filed under: Salmonella enterica subsp. enterica serovar Enteritidis
Lineage: Bacteria; Pseudomonadati; Pseudomonadota; Gammaproteobacteria; Enterobacterales; Enterobacteriaceae
Description: partial 23S ribosomal RNA
Rfam family: Bacterial large subunit ribosomal RNA
Source: RNAcentral